RNAcentral lists this ribosomal RNA (789 nucleotides) under Triticum aestivum (bread wheat). RNAcentral's name for it is "partial small subunit ribosomal RNA". Lineage: Eukaryota; Viridiplantae; Streptophyta; Magnoliopsida; Poales; Poaceae. The record is from RNAcentral.
AUGGAAAACUUCGUUGGCCGUUCGAUUUUAGUCAACCCGGUCUUUUUUGGUUCUUGUCCGUUCGGUCGCUACGUUUUGACUUGUGCGUUUUCACCGGACGGUAGAUCUUGGCCAGCGGAUGACCUGUGGCUGUGGGCUCGGACCGAAUUUCAUUGGCUGGGUGCCAGCUUAUUGGGUGCGAGGGUCAGCCUAUCCUGCCGCGCCGCAUGCAUGCGAGGAAGCCCGGGUCGCGGGCGUUGUGCGCUGCUCCUCGCGUUUUGCGCCUGCGCUUGUGCUGUCCUCAUGACGGGAUAUUUCCUCGUUACCUCGGUCAACUGCUCCUGGCGCGGCGCUCCUCACGCGCUGCCCGCGUCGUGCGUCGUGGGGAGUUUACUGCCUCCUGUGUCAGCUACAGAGGGGUGGGUCGACGCAUGUGCACCCGGAUUGUGCACACGCAUUUGUACUAACGCGAUGACGUGUGGGCUGCCGCUGCUCUGUUGGAGAGAGAGAUGGAUUGGUGCCUACGACGCGCUGGUCGACGCGGCGGCCGCCGCAGUCCGUGAGCCCGGGUGCACGGUGGCGCUCACGGACCUCCACCGCUGCCUUGAUGCCUUCAGCGAGUCCUGCGACCGAGCCGAGGGCCUCGUCCAGGCGGCCGCCGCCGGCCUCGGCCCCGUCGCCACCCGCCACGAUGAGCUGUGCCGCGCUGUUCGCGCGGUCGACAAGGAUCUCCGGGCCGCCGAGGAGAACGAGAUGGAAGAGGAGAAGCAUCGCCCUCCGACCACGCCGCUGGCGGCCGAGGACAAAUAG